AUUUCUCAGCACGUGUGCAGGGAAUUCUGAGAGAAUGACUAACAUUAAUAAAAAAAUAAUCAAUUAUUCAUGAUGGGAAGGAAUAACUACUGGGCAACUGAAGUAUUAAAAAGUCAUUCUGAUCUAAGGGUGAAAUUUCGCAAGGCCAAACAGAAAGCAGCUGCUACAGAAUGAAGAAGGCACAUGGAGCUGCAGACUUUGACACUGUGAUCCAUGUAAGAGAGACUUCGAUAAAAACUCAACAUUCUUUUGAGACAAGAGACUGGUCACAUCUUAAAACCAACGACCACAUCACAUGUGGAACAGAAUUUAAAAUACUUAUAAGAACAUCUGCUUUAAACAAGACUGUAUUUCAGCAUUUCCUCCUUAUCCUCUUGGAAUCUUUACAAAAGCAUAAGAAUGUAUUUUUGAAUUUUUGAAGAACUCAGAAGUCUCAUUUUUAGAGAAUCUUGGAGAUAAAUAUAAUCCCAAACUCAAAAAUACAUAUUGGGGCUGCCAAAAGCAGCUGAGGCUGAGCAGAAGUUAUCUGGAGAGAAGUGAAGACAAGAAGCACAGCAAAUGAUGAGGACUCUCCUUGACACAGCUCAAAGAACUACAAGAAAAAAAAAUCUACAGUUCAAAUGCUCAUUCUGAAGUCAAAAGCAGUAACAGAUAGAGGUACUGGUUUGAUGCAAAGAAGCAAAGGACAUAUAGUUACACAAAGAAUUGCAAAGAUGGGCCAUAUUUUGGGGGACCAGCCUGUCUCUAUAGCAACAAAUAGUUUCCCAAUCAUGAGCACACAGCUGCCUGGAAUAAAGAAGUCAUAUUGCACGGCCACAUGAAUAAGUGUUGACUAACAAGAUAUAAGCUGAACUGCCUGGAAAUUUGAAAAGAUGACUCAAAAGUUCCUCUUGUCCCCUUUCUCUCCUGCUUCCUCCUCUUUAAGAUUCUGAUGUAAUGCCAAAGUGAUUGAGUAGAUAAGAAGAGCUUCAUAAGAAAUAAAUAAGCUUUACUCCUGUUUAAA
Molecule: long non-coding RNA, 1003 nt
Organism: Acinonyx jubatus (cheetah)
Lineage: Eukaryota; Metazoa; Chordata; Mammalia; Carnivora; Felidae
Exons: 3
Source: RefSeq, a predicted model, not a curated record